Molecule: long non-coding RNA, 738 nt
Organism: Tarenaya hassleriana
Lineage: Eukaryota; Viridiplantae; Streptophyta; Magnoliopsida; Brassicales; Cleomaceae
Exons: 3
Source: RefSeq, a predicted model, not a curated record
UGGAUUAUCUGUUUCAACUUUAAAGGUUGGGCCUAAAAGCCCAAUCAAAGGAAGGGAAGAGUAACGGAAACACAAUUGCCAAAUAGGCCGAAAAAAAAAAGAUUCAGGGAGGAAACCAUUGCUUGAAUUGAAUCGAGCGUUGUUCUUCAGAUCAUCUCUCGCCUUCCACCUCAGAUUCAUCUACUCCUCCGCCGCUACUCCUAGUUGUACGGUUUGCUGCAAUGGCCACUGGAGAUACUCGGUCGUCUUUCCCCGGCGGCCUCGGCUGUGAUGGCGCGGCGGCUCAGUCUGCCUCGGCUUCCUGCCCCACCGAUUUUCUCACGCUUUGUUAUCCCCUCAAGGGAAGUUUCAGACCAAUAUAGGGAAAGCUUGGGCAUCGGAGAUAGCUUCAAGAAGAGGAAAGCAACACUACUAAUCUUAAUCCUCGUCCGAGAAAAUUAACACCAACGGAGAUUGAAGGAACACUUGAUAGCUUGUCGGGAAAUUCGAAAAAGAACAUCUGAUCAGAACGGAGGUUUGUCAUUUUCGUCAAUCUAAGAACGAGGUUGGGAUUUCGGAAAUUCUGUUCGCUGUCUCUCGCAUGUCUAAAUCAUUCAUUUGCAUAAACUGAGGUGACUUUGUUACAUGAAAUAAGGGUUUGCCAAAAUUGAUUGUUAUGUCGUGUGGAGGGGAUGUUUUCUCUUCUUGUUUCUGAAUACAAAACUCUAAACCCAAUCUAACCAUUUCCUGAUCUGGGUU